AAGCCAUCCUCUCGCAGGACCCAGAUGCUCUGUUCUUUCUUUGCCACUCAACAAAUCAAUACCAUACCCCUAAGCCCGCCUUUCCCUGGGGAAUGCCGGCUGCCUCUCUGCCCCCACGCAGCUGACCGAGGCUGCACAGCUCUCAGCUCACGUGCUGCUUUCAGAGGAGGAAAUGAAUGCAACGACUCCUGUCCAGCUCAGGAGGGGGAAGAUUUAAAAAAGAAAGUUGUUAAGAGGGAACCUGAGACACACUGCUCAUUCUUGCUGAGCUUCCUGUGGAACAUCUCCUCCCAACGAACUGAGGCACUCACCUCCCCACCCCUUCUCUUAACUUCUGUCUGACGUAAAAUCUGUUGCACUCUUCCACAUCCAUCCAGCCCAGAGCUUCGUAUUUGUAUUCAUAUCAUGCACAAGUGAAUGACAUAAAGGGCCCAAACAAUUACCAAGAAUUGCAUCAAGGCCAGGUUACUGCAGCUGAGGAAUCAUGAAGGAUCACCAUAGAGCUGUCAUAUCCUGAGAGCUGUAUAGGACCGUCAUAAACAUUCCCACACAGUAGCCGCUGUGCAGGGUGUGUUCAUUGCUGUGACUGUUAUUUGCCAUAGGGUCUGCUGAAAUGAGUUAAAGGAAUUCAAGUGCUGCUAAACCAGAUUCACCUCCUGAUGUGCACUUAUCCCUUAGAAUCCAAACAGAAAAAGUGCUGCCAAGGUGUAUUAAGUCACUUCUACAUCCCUUCCCCCAUUUUGCCUUUGAGAGGUGAUACAGCUCCGGAUUUUGUGCUUCACUGUCCAAGUUUGCAAAUGUGGUAUAAAUCUAAAGGGUUUUCAUGGCAGGAAGUGGUAGGUGGAGACGUCCUAAGGGCUGGAGCAAGGCUAAGACACAGCUGCCAGGGAAACUCUGGUGGGUGGGAGAAGGAGGAGACAGUCAUAUGCCUGGCAAGAGAGAGCCUUCCUGGGGAUGAGUGCAGCUGAGAGAGAGUGACAGAGUGCAACUGAGCAGAAGUGGCUGAAGCAGGAUUUGUCCAGCACUCUGUUUUUUUGAGGCCAGAAUGCAGCGCUUUCCACUGUGUCAUAAAGAAGUGAAACAGGAAAAUGAUGUGGUCAGCAGCUGCAUCGUAGAAGGACAGGAUAUGGAAGCCACACAUUGGCUGCGCCAUUCUGCAUCUGAGCAAGAUUCUCCUAGCAAAAUAAAGAUUCAUUCUUGAAACAGCCAGGGACUGUGCUGUACUGUCUGUUCCCAGGAGGACUGAAGGGGAAAUUAGUCAUCUGCCAAGGAGCCAUAGGAAGGAAGAUGAUAAACUCAAGGAAAAAGAGUCACAUGCCUUUUUUUGUCCUUACUUCUAAACCCGAGUGUACUCUUGACAAAAGUAAUGCAGCAGCCAGGAGUUUUGAAUACAGGAGGGACAUAAAGUGCCUGUUAAAUGCGACCAUUGAUCUUACUUCCCUCCUUUCUAAUGGAGUAUUACAUCUUUAUUUUUAUGCUUGCACAUCAGAUGAGGUAAACUGGAG
Molecule: long non-coding RNA, 1505 nt
Organism: Gallus gallus (chicken)
Lineage: Eukaryota; Metazoa; Chordata; Aves; Galliformes; Phasianidae
Source: Ensembl